CGGCCGCGAAGUGUUGUGCGUGUGUGUCUUCUACACUGCAGCCCGCAUGCCCUUGUAGAAAAGGCACCACGGCUGCUUUCUUCUGCGCUGUUCUUCCGACAGGUGGCGGGCACACAUUUGCCGCGUUGUGCCCCUUGCCCACUCUUCUUAGCUGUGCGUCCUCUCUUAUCACCAUGAGACGAGGCGCCAUGCUGCUUCUAAGGGUCGAGCGGCCACUGACCCCCGGCAGUCUGCUGCAGACUAUCCGCAGUGAUCCAGGGAUGACGACCACUUACUACGCCAAUCGCUACUUUGGCCAAGAGAACGUGAUGCAGUUGAACCACCUCCUCUGGGGCGUCCUGAAACGCAAUGGCAAGGUAGACAUUGACCGCGCCGACGGCAAGGACGCUGCACCGCGCUGGUACCCGUUGUUUUCGAACCCGAAGCGGCAUCAGGUGCGACCCCACAACCCAGAUGAGGAGGACCUGUCAUUUCUCCGGAAUACCCCGCCGACGGCUCCAACGGCACCCGAAAUGCCUGCCGACACUCCUGCGUCGGUUUCUCGCGCGGACUCUUGUGAGCUGGAGAGCGCCAUCGUAGAACUCGUGCAGGCGGUGCCGGGCAAGGACAUUCACUUCUACAUAAUGGAGCUGCCUUUUCAGUACCGGCGCAGCGCCCCGAGGGCGUUCAAGCGGCUGCGUGAAACGGGGCUGCUGAUGCGCGAGGCCACCAACUUAGGCACCUAUGUGUGGCGGUAAAGGAGAGCACAGCAGGACUGAGAGGGAGACGACCGCAAUAACAAAAGGAUGGGCAACGGGGCGUUCUUACGGUGGCUUUUCGCAGUGCUCAAGCCACCUGCCCUACCCUGGUUUCCCUCCCUCCAUCAGCGAUCUCCUGCCCACCCAGUCUGUCUUCCUGCGCUGGCAUUUCAUCUCUACCGCUAGCACGACGCUACGCCGAAGUUGAUGAUACAAGAAUCCUGGAAACGUUUGCGCGUACGCGUAGUUUUGUCUCUGCCUUUGUUGUUGUGUGUCGCAGUAAACGACUGAGCCGCCGGAGCAAGUCAAAUGAUGGCGUGGUUGGUGGAGCUCCUCUUCGUGUUGCCACUGCCGCAAAUCACACUCCUCAGAGUGGAAGCGAUCAAUGGCGAGAGAGCGGGUUGUUUCACGGUAAAGGGUCUUCUUCACCUCUGGAAGCUGACACGCCGCCCUCCCCCUCCGUUUUUCCUUUCUGCAAAGCCAUAUGAUGCUUGCGGCGAUAGCUGAGGAUAGGGUGGGGUUAACAUGGUGUAAACGCUCCCCUCUUUCUGGUUGUCUGCCACCGAUCUCGCUUUCACUGGAUCUCCUGCGCAGCGGCUGCGUGCUUUGUCAGAGACUGCCUCGCACCUUCUUCUCGUCGUUUUCCGCCGUCGUUGUGGUUCUCCAUAUCGUCUGUUCCGUUGAGUCCAAAAUGCGAAAG
This 1437-nucleotide unclassified non-coding RNA is filed under the name Leishmania donovani. RNAcentral's name for it is "gene:LdHU3.36.9260(CDS-product:hypothetical_prote in_conserved)". Lineage: Eukaryota; Euglenozoa; Kinetoplastea; Trypanosomatida; Trypanosomatidae. The record is from RNAcentral.